Molecule: ribosomal RNA, 494 nt
Filed under: uncultured bacterium
Lineage: Bacteria
Description: partial 16S ribosomal RNA
Rfam family: Bacterial small subunit ribosomal RNA
Source: RNAcentral
GACGAACGCUGGCGGCGUGCCUAACACAUGCAAGUCGAACGGAAUGGGCUGUUUUGCCUUGUGGAUUCCGGGCACUCGAGUGGCGAACGGGUGCGUCAUACGUUAGUGAUCUGCCUCCCAUUUGGGUAGAAGCCUGGGUAACCGGGACUAAUUUGCGUUAGGUCUGUAGGGAGUUGCCAGUGCUGGAGAUCGAUAUUGUAGCGGGCGGGGAUGGGCACGCGGCCAUUCAGCUGGUCGGCGGGGUAAUGGUCUUCCAAGGCGGUGACGGGUAGCCGGCCGGGGGGGGGAGACGGCCACAUUGGGACGGGGAUACGGCCAGAACUCCUACGGAAGGCGGCAGUAGGGAAUAUGGCACAAUGGGCGGAGGCUUGAUGCGGCGACGCCGCGUGAGGAAUGACGGCCUUCGGGUUGUAAACUCCUUUCGACCGGGGGGAAGCCACCUGGUGGGAAGGGUGGUGACGGUAGUGGUAGAAGAAGCACCGGCUAACUACGUG